AACGGGCACAGAGGCUCGGUUUGAGAUGAGAAGGUUCUGGGGAGGAUGGUGUUGGGGCUGGUCGUUAAUGCCACUGAAGAAUGGUCAACACCGAGAGGAAGCCGGGACAGCAAACGCAGGGCUCCCAUCCCGUGUGCCAGGCCAGCUCUUCCCGCAGGGGUAACCUCCCGUGGGUUACUCCUGAGGGAUCGUGUGCGGCCACCUGUGAGCCGUGGGUCCCGACUCCACCCAAACGUGUUCCUCCGCGCCCUGGCCCCAGCCCCAGCCCCCACAUUAGUCACUCGCACAAUCCGUGUCGGCGAGGCUCCCCAGGAAGCUGACGAUAGUGAUCUAAAAACUGAAACAACGCCUUCACGCUGUGGUCCCGGAUUUCAGUGGCUUCUUGGUUUUGUCUGUCCCCAACGUUGAUGACCGGCCUCCUCGGUCGCAUUUCCUUCUGCAGCCAGUGAAGCCGCCUUCGGAGUCUCUAACUCCCAUCGGUAACUGUUACCUCGAGGAACUGAGGGCGCCCAGCUCCACACCUCGAGGGAGCUCCUGCCCCCCCCCCCCCCCCCCCCCCGGAAUCAGAGGCUUCUCGCCCCCACCCGUUCUCCCUGGAUCUUCCCAAACCACGUUUCUGACUCAGGGCUGUUCUGGCAAAUCCCACUUCACCCACACCAGCUGUCAUGAAAACCGCAAGCCCUAACGCCUUUAUUUACAACAGUUUUAGGGGGCCCCUGGGGGGCUCAGUCAGUUAGGCGUCCGACUUCUGCUCAGGUCGUGAUCUCGCGGUCGGUGAGUUCGAGCCCCGCGUCGGCCUCUGUGCUGACAGCUCAGAGCCAGGAGCCUGCUUCAGAGUCUGUGUCUCUCUCUCUCUCUCUCUGCCCCUCCCCUGCUCAUGCUCUGUCUCUAUCUCUCCCUCUGUCUCUCUCAAAAGUAAAUAAGCAUUAAAAUUUUUAAAUAAAUAAAAUAAAACAAGGGUUUUAGGAGUUUUGUGCCAGCAACUGGGGGUAUAUAUAGUUCACACCGUCUUUGCCAUCAGACUGGUAGAAAUUUAAUUUUUUGUAACGUUUAUUCAUUUUUGAGAGACAGAGUGCGAGUGGGGGAGGAGCAGAGAGAGGAGACACAGAAUCCGAAGCAGGCUCCAGGCCCCCCCGACGCAGGGCUCGAACUCACGAACCCGCGAGAUCACAACCCGAGCCGAAGGGGGACGCCCAACUGACUGAGCCCCCCAGGGGUCCCCCCGACUGGCAGAAAUUUAAAAGUCUGAUGAUGUCAAGUUGCAGCCAGGUGUGAGCCAGGUGAAAUUCAUCAUGGGAUCCAAUCUUCACAUAAAAAAACUCUAUGGUAGACGCAAUGGUCCUCCACCAACCUUCAAGGCUGAGUCUUAAGAAGGUUUGCAGCUUCCGCCCAGGCCUCUGGGAACCUGGUGUCGGGGAAGCCAGCUGCCGUGUCGAAGUCUGAGAGAGCCAUACUGUGAGGACAUCCACGCAGGCCGCAGACAGAGGGUGGCUGAAACACAGGCAGAGGGUGACAGAAACGCUGUCCGGCCCCGGUGGAUCCGGGGGUCCAGCCAUCCGGCCCGGGCGCCAGAUGUGGGAACGAAGAGGCCUUCUGAUGACCCCAGCCCCGGCCACUAUGUACUCAGGAGACCCCCACCCACGUGUCCACGGAGGUCUGUGUACAAGGAUGUGCAUUAGCAGGUUGUUUAUAACACGGAAAAAGCGCCAAGAGACGAAGUCCUUCACUGAUGGGAGAGAAAUAAAUCGGGACAUAAACAUUGGAUGAAAUACCAUACGGCUGUUAACAAACUAAAUCCAAACGCAACAUCAGGGAUAAAUCUCAUAAACAUUCUGGAAAACAGCUGCCUGGAGUUUUGUGGGUUUUUUUUUUUUUUUUAGAUUUUUUUUUUUUUAUUUGUAACUAAUCUCUACUGUCAUCGUGGGGCUCAAACUCACAAUUCCAAGAUCAAGAAUCGCGUGCUCAGGGGGAUGGGCUCACUGGGGGAGGGGGAUUAAGGAGGGCACUUGUCAUACACUAUACGUUAACUAACUAGAAUUUAAAUUUUUUGGAGGAAAAAAAAAAGUCACAGGCUCUACUCACUGGGCUAGCCAGGCGCCCCCAGCAAGCGGGUUACUUUAGACUAAAGGACACCUGAGAAAAGACAGCUAAAUGCCCUAUGUGAUCCUUGAUUUCAUCCUGGAUCAAAGAAAACAUCAUCUAACCGGGGCAUUACUGGGAACAUUCGAACAUGAGCUGUAUAUUGGGUAAGAUUCCUUAAUCUGUUUUAUCACUGUUCAAUUCGUCACUGGUGAUAAUGGUCCGUGUUACGGAGGCGAAUGUCUGCGUCCUCAGGAGAUGCAGACCAAACCGAGGUCGCCAGUGGUUCAGCAAAAUGUGUGCCGGGCAAGCCUUGUGUAAGAGAGAGAGGAAGCGUACGUGGCAAAUGUCCACAAUUGUGAGCCUACAAGGAGCGCGUUCAUUGCGUUAUCCCUGCAACUUGGCUUCGGUUUGAAAAUUGUC
Molecule: long non-coding RNA, 2502 nt
Organism: Neofelis nebulosa (Clouded leopard)
Lineage: Eukaryota; Metazoa; Chordata; Mammalia; Carnivora; Felidae
Exons: 3
Source: RefSeq, a predicted model, not a curated record